GUUAAACAUUGAAACAUAAGUUGUUUACUACCGCCAAACAAAUUUUGUCAUGCAGAUUUAAUGAAAUUAUUUGAUUUUUACCCCUUAUAUCAUUGCGUCGUACUAUGUACUUGGCAGAUAGCAUAGCCUAAUGUAAGCACUGCAGAGACUCACAAAAGUACCAUUUAUUAUUCCAAAUGAAGUUUUUAUAUCUUAAAUUUUAUUAACUGAUGUAAAUAAACACAGUUAAAUGACCA
This 236-nucleotide long non-coding RNA is filed under the name Mytilus galloprovincialis (Mediterranean mussel). The record is from RNAcentral. Lineage: Eukaryota; Metazoa; Mollusca; Bivalvia; Mytilida; Mytilidae.